ACUCAAAUGAAUUGACGGGGGCUCACACAAGCGGUGGAGGAUGUGGUUUAAUUCGAAGCAACGCGCAGAACCUUACCAGGUCUUGACAUACCGGGAUUAUUCGUGUGAAAGCAUGAAAAUUCUCAGCAAUGAGGUAACCGGAACAGGUGCUGCAUGGCUGUCGUCAGCUCGUGCCGUGAGGUGUUAGGUUAAGUCCUUUAACGAGCGAAACCCCUACGAUUAGUUACCAGCGCGUCAUGGCGGGGACUCUAGUCGGACUGCCGCGCAAGCAGGAGGAAGGUGGGGACGACGUCAAGUCAUCAUGGCCUUUAUGACCUGGGCCACACACGUCCUACAAUGGGUACUACAAAGGGCAGCAAGCCUGCAAAGGCAAGCCAAUCCCCGAAAGGUACCCUCAGUUCAGAUUGUGGGCUGCAAUUCGCCCACAUGAAGCUGGAAUCGCUAGUAAUCGCGGAUCAGCCACGCCGCGGUGAAUUUGUUCCUGAGCCUUGUACACACCGCCCGU
This 505-nucleotide ribosomal RNA is filed under the name uncultured bacterium. Its description in RNAcentral is "partial 16S ribosomal RNA". It matches the Rfam family "Bacterial small subunit ribosomal RNA", at positions 899 to 1397 of the family's 1533-position model. The record is from RNAcentral.